ACGUAAAUGUCAAUGGUUGCUACUGUUAUUGCAUUGUCAUCCCUAUCUCUCCAUCCCAGGGUGUCUCUAGACAGGGGAUGGGGAAUGGAGCUGAGACUGAGGAAUGUCUUGGAGGAGACUCUCUCCUUCAAUGCUGAGUUCGGACUCUAUCUCUCUCCCUCUCCUGGAUGGAGGAAGCAGUUUCUCAGGAACUCUCCUGGUGUUGGAGAGCCAAUCUGUGGAGGGGCUAAGUCUCUUCUCUUGUCAGCAGGAAGGUCACCAAAGUUCCAGGCCUGCUGCAAAAAGGGUCCAGCAGCAAAAGUGUUGAGUUGAAGCGAUUUGCCUGGCGGUUGAAGUGAGAUGCCCCAGAGCUCCCGGACUCUGUCACCACCCAGGCCUGUCAGUUUCCACUUUUCCCUCUGUCCAUCUCUUCUAAUGCCUUGGCUUUGGACCCAGAUGGAAGUCUACAGGCAGUGAAUUAUCCAGGAACAUAAGAAAUGGGGCACUUGCCAAAUGCCUCUGAGGCUGAUUAUGCACCUAGCUCCAACCCUAAUCUCUUGGGAAGUCGGGUGCCUUAGAUGAGCCCUGGAAGAUCCUAGAGGUGAUGAGAAAGACCUCCCUGAAGGACAACCAGCUCCCAGACCCUCACUUACACUAUAGCUUCUAUACAGAUAAGGAGUUCAGUUCCUGGGGCUCAGCUGGGUGACCUCAGUAAACAAUUGGGGAUUUAUUUAUGUGUGGCAGCCUCUAAGGUGACUAAAUUUUUCUUUUUCUGAACUAGGUUGUAUAGAAGGUAAUAGCAGUGACCAGACAGUCCAGAGAAUUCUGCCCAGUUGCAAGAUACAAUAAAAAUGUAAAUAAACAUUUUACCUUGUGAAGG
This 859-nucleotide long non-coding RNA is filed under the name Phascolarctos cinereus (koala). Its description in RNAcentral is "lncRNA (ENSPCIG00000025258.2)". The record is from RNAcentral. Lineage: Eukaryota; Metazoa; Chordata; Mammalia; Diprotodontia; Phascolarctidae.